AGCAUAGCGAUUUGGGAUAAGUCCCUUGGAAGAGGGCAGCAUGGAGGGUGAUACUCCCGUCUCUGCUCAGGUUGUCUGUGUGUACGAUACGCUUUCUUUGAGUCGAGUUGUUUGGGAAUACAGCUCAAAGCAGGUGGUAAAUUCCAUCUAAAGCUAAAUAUUGGUGCGAGACCGGUAGCGAACAAGUACCGUGAGGGAAAGAUGAAAAGAACUUUGAAAAGAGAGUUAAAGAGUACCUGAAACUGUUGAAAGGGAACCGUAUCGUUUCUAGUGUGUAUCCUAUGCAUAUUUCAUUGGCGGUUGUAAAAUUGCUGGAGCCCUGUGUAUGGGUGUGACGUCAGAGUCAGUUUGAAUUGCGGGAGAUGGGUAGUGAGGAGGUGCGUCACUUUUUGUGAAAGUUACAGCUCGCUAUCUAGUAGCCGUGGUUGAGACUGAGGUGCC
This 441-nucleotide ribosomal RNA is filed under the name uncultured Oomycota. RNAcentral describes it as "LSU rRNA". It matches the Rfam family "Eukaryotic large subunit ribosomal RNA", at positions 165 to 604 of the family's 3401-position model. Lineage: Eukaryota; Oomycota. The record is from RNAcentral.